This is a long non-coding RNA of Rhagoletis zephyria (snowberry fruit fly), 776 nucleotides long. RefSeq lists it as uncharacterized. The record is from RefSeq and is a predicted model, not a curated record. NCBI's taxonomy places the organism in Eukaryota, Metazoa, Arthropoda, Insecta, Diptera, Tephritidae.
GUUAUCAACUCGACAAUUGGGUGUGGCAUAUAUUAAAAUAAAUAUUUAAAUCCUCAUUUAUUUAGUUAAACUCAAUUCAUUUUAAUCAUAAUAGUGCCAUUCGCAAGAAGAAAGGAGAACCAGCAACAUUAGUGGCACAUAAUGGAUGCAGCAUAAAAUAACAGCAAUAAUGACAGCCUGGAGAUCAAGCGAAGACGAAUUUUUUCCAACAGGACCUAUUUUGUGCUAGCGGCAGAAAUUGAUUUAUUAAGUUCCAUACGCAUUGAUGAUUCCACUCAGUUGAUUUGCAACUGCGAGCGCAUUACGUAGACAAAUAAAAGCAGCUGCAACAAAGUGUUCAAACCUAAACAGUUAUCAUACACGCAGUUCCGAAGUUCCUGUACAAAUUGAAAAGUAAGUACGUUUACAUAUUUCCUACUUAUUAUUCAUUAAUCGCAUACAAAAAGCCUCUCGCGACAUUUUUUUGUUACCAAAAGCCCAAUGAAACUCGUGUAAUUUAUAUGUCUCAUUUUUUUAUGCAAAAGCCAAUAUAUAUUGCCUCUUAGUAUGAAUGCACUCUCAGUAGGUUAAUACUUUGCUUAUGUAACAGUGUUGGGUGUCCAGAUCUGCGUUGACAGAUAUUUGAUAAAAUAUACCAACGAGAAAAAAUUUAUAAAUCAGCUUGGGAUAGAUUGUUUAUAUGUAUAUAUUUACCACUUUUUAGUCAAAUCAUUACAAUUAAGAAAAUAACUUGGCGAAUUGAGUGAAAACUCGAAUUUGCAAUUGCCAGCUCGCUC